Triticum urartu is the source of this 123-nucleotide non-coding RNA. The record is from Rfam. Lineage: Eukaryota; Viridiplantae; Streptophyta; Magnoliopsida; Poales; Poaceae.
UUAAUACUCCUUCCGUCCGGAAAUACUUGUCCCGAAAUGGUUGUAUCUAGACUUAUUUUAGUUAUAGAUACAUCUAUUUUAUUCAUUUAUAGGACAAGUAUUUCCGGACGAAGGAAGUAUAAA